RNAcentral lists this ribosomal RNA (253 nucleotides) under uncultured bacterium. Its description in RNAcentral is "partial 16S ribosomal RNA". It matches the Rfam family "Bacterial small subunit ribosomal RNA", at positions 524 to 776 of the family's 1533-position model. The record is from RNAcentral.
AACGUAGGACACAAGCGUUAUCCGGAGUUACUGGGCGUAAAGGGCGUGUAGGCGGACGUGUAAGUCUAUUCUGAAAGCUCCUGGCUAAACUGGGAGAGGCGAAUGGAGACUGCAUAUCUAGAGUGAGGAAGAGGAAAGUGGAAUUCCGCGUGUAGUGGUGAAAUGCGUAGAUAUUGGGAGGAACACCAGUGGCGAAGGCGGCUACCUGGACCGGUUCUGACGCUGAGGCGCGAAAGCGUGGGUAGCAAACAGG